ACGCUGGCGGCGUGCUUAACACAUGCAAGUCGAACGGAAAGGCCUGCUUUUGUGGGGUGCUCGAGUGGCGAACGGGUGAGUAACACGUGAGUAACCUGCCCUUGACUUUGGGAUAACUUCAGGAAACUGGGGCUAAUACCGGAUAGGAGCUCCUGCUGCAUGGUGGGGGUUGGAAAGUUUCGGCGGUUGGGGAUGGACUCGCGGCUUAUCAGCUUGUUGGUGGGGUAGUGGCUUACCAAGGCUUUGACGGGUAGCCGGCCUGAGAGGGUGACCGGCCACAUUGGGACUGAGAUACGGCCCAGACUCCUACGGGAGGCAGCAGUGGGGAAUAUUGCACAAUGGGCGGAAGCCUGAUGCAGCAACGCCGCGUGCGGGAUGACGGCCUUCGGGUUGUAAACCGCUUUCGCCUGUGACGAAGCGUGAGUGACGGUAAUGGGUAAAGAAGCACCGGCUAACUACGUG
This 462-nucleotide ribosomal RNA is filed under the name uncultured bacterium. Its description in RNAcentral is "bacterial SSU rRNA". It matches the Rfam family "Bacterial small subunit ribosomal RNA", at positions 33 to 507 of the family's 1533-position model. The record is from RNAcentral.